GAGGGAAAGUUGCCAUAAAUGUCGUCGUUUGUUUAGUUAGAAAUGUUAUCGCACGGUGGCGCUUUACUUUAACACACUAGUGAUAUACUAGUUGGAAUUUUUGGCAGCGAAAGCUCAGUGUAAGAUCCAAUCUUCGAACCGAACGGUCUUCCGAAAAUUAGCGAACGAGUACAAGUGAUCGGUAGAAGUAGCCAACAGCUACGUUGUGGCAUUAAAAUAGUCGAAGAUAGUUAUUUUUAUUAAUAAAUAAAACGAAAUGGACGCGCGAUUUAGAAGCAAUCUUGCUAUGAUUGGCCGUAAUGAGCCCAUUACGAGGAAGGCUAGAUUUUGGCAGAGUUAUGUACGUGCUCUUAAAGGAACCGAUGACAUGAGAGCACCUGAACACACUCGUAGACCAAGAAGCAUAUUCAGCGAUUACCCUGAACUUCAUUCUUCAUCAUGGCCUUACGGAAAAUCUAUUUUUGACAAUCCUUCUCACGCAUCUGAUCGCAUUAAUGUACCUGGAUACAGGUACUUGCCCGUUCAUCGGGAAAUCUAUGGCUACUCACCGAGACAAUUGUAUCCUCACCAAUACAAACCCGUCGAGCGCUUCGUCUCCGCUAAACCUUUCGACGCGGAUCAAGCAUGGAGUGAUCAUUUGGACCGAUUGGCAGACAUCGAUAGAAUGUAUCCAUCAUCCUCAUUAUUAUCUCGCCACAGAUCACCCCCGCUGUCGACAAAACCGCUCUUUGACAUUCACGGAAAGCUGUUGGAUGAUCCAUUGACUUCAUUUCCUUCAAUGCUUGGAAGAAAAGCUUUCCAUGAUCUACUGGAGCCCCAACCGUCAGCACCCAUUUCGGCUUUUACCAGGGACCCAUGGUGGUACCCAUGCUCCGCACCAUAUAUCCCUCUUCACGCUCAAUGGAGCUCACCCUUCUAUCUAAGGGACAGCUAUCUCAGUCCCGUUAAACGUAAUUACCUGUGGAGCAGACAUCCCCUCAGGCCUCUUGACAAGUUUAAUGCUCUACUCGCGUCUAUUUUGUAAAUUUAUACCAUUGAGAUUGCGAGGAGAUAUAUAUAAAUAUAAAACAGGAUAAAACGAGAAAAAAGAACCGCGGAAAAAAAUUCUAUUACUAUUCGAAGCCCGUUCCAAGAGUUCUAUUUUCAAGACCAUGGUACAAUGAUUACCAUUAUUGAGAGCGAAACUUGUGCCCAUUAGAAGAAUAACACGUGUCAUGCCGAUGGUUAAAAUAUGGUAACGCGUAUGGAAAAAAAAAAUCAAAUAAAAGUAAGAGUGAACACAAGGUAAUGAAUGAAGAAAUGAAAAUUGAAAUAACUUAAAAAAUUAAUGGAGAGAGAUUUAAAUAUAUGAGUAAUCAAAACAAUAACGUACAGUGAAGAUGAUCGGGGCUCAAGAUAAACAAUAUUUUUUUUAAUUGAUCAUUGGCCUAAAAUAAAUUGAUAAUAAAUUUUAAUAAAUUAUGUUAUACAUAUAAAAUAUAUUUAUUUUUUUGUUAAAUUUAAUUUCAUUUCUACUUAAUUAUUGUAAGCUAUCAAGUAGAAAUAAAUUCAAUAAAAUGUGAUUCCCACGUAAAA
This is an RNA transcript of Microplitis mediator, 1575 nucleotides long. RefSeq lists it as uncharacterized. The record is from RefSeq and is a predicted model, not a curated record. Lineage: Eukaryota; Metazoa; Arthropoda; Insecta; Hymenoptera; Braconidae. The transcript has 9 exons.